AGGCCCAAAUACCUACUAACAAACUUUAAGCCCAACCCUAAAAUAAACCCUAAAAUUCAUUUAGAUUAGGUUGAUGCUCGCCGCUUUCUCUAACUCUCUCAUUUCACUGUUUCACUUUCAACUUCGAACUCACUCUCUCUCUCUUCUCUCUUCUCUCAAAAAAAUCAGAAAAAAUAAAAAUCAAAAUCGAAAAAUCAAAAUAAAAUUACGAGAAGAUUGUACAACAAUUCAGACAAACGUUGAGAAGCGUAAGAGCCUAAGAGGUAUCAUCAUUUCAAUGACAUGCACUGGUGUUACAUUUCGAUCGACUAUUAUUUGUGUUACUGCACACAUGUGCUAGGACUUUGAUGAAUUCUGGACUAAGAAGCAAGUGUGGUUAACAAAGAUUACUUGGAUAUGUAUUUUGAAGACGCUCUUCUCCCACGAACUACUAAUUUGGAUGUUCUCAUUAACCAGAGGAUCCUCAGAUUAUUAACUUAUUUAUUUUAGUUAAUUACUUAUUUCAUUUAACUCAUGCUUGAAUCUUUGAUUAGCUAAUCAUACGAUGGACGAUACACCAAUCCCGAGUCCGGCAAUGAGCUCCGGUUUUAAUGGAAGUAGUUCUAAGAAAUGAGAAUUUGUCUUGAUUAGUUGAUUAUGCAUGUCAAGAACUUUGGAUUAUGUUGUUAGUUUUAGAACUUAAAACUUUGAACUUUGCUAUUGGUUGUGAACUUUGAACUUUCUUUAAUUUAUUUUGGGUUGUCUGUAAAAAUUAAUGUGGGAUGUAAUUUGAAUUUAGAUUUUGAAUGCUCAA
This is a long non-coding RNA of Beta vulgaris subsp. vulgaris (sugar beet), 793 nucleotides long. RefSeq lists it as uncharacterized. The transcript is spliced from 3 exons. The record is from RefSeq and is a predicted model, not a curated record. NCBI's taxonomy places the organism in Eukaryota, Viridiplantae, Streptophyta, Magnoliopsida, Caryophyllales, Amaranthaceae.